RNAcentral lists this ribosomal RNA (253 nucleotides) under uncultured bacterium. RNAcentral's name for it is "partial 16S ribosomal RNA". It matches the Rfam family "Bacterial small subunit ribosomal RNA", at positions 524 to 776 of the family's 1533-position model. The record is from RNAcentral.
UACGCAGGGUGCGAGCGUUGUCCGGAAUUACUGGGCGUAAAGAGCUCGUAGGUGGUUUGUCGCGUUGUUCGUGAAAACCUGAGGCUUAACCUUGGGCGUGCGGGCGAUACGGGCAGACUGGAGUACUGCAGGGGAGACUGGAAUUCCUGGUGUAGCGGUGGAAUGCGCAGAUAUCAGGAGGAACACCGGUGGCGAAGGCGGGUCUCUGGGCAGUAACUGACGCUGAGGAGCGAAAGCGUGGGGAGCGAACAGG